GGACUACUGGGGUUUCUAAUCCCGUUCGCUCCCCCAGCUUUCGCGCCUCAGCGUCAAGAAUGCCCCAGGAGACCGCCUUCGCCACUGGUGUUCCUACCGAUCUCUACGCAUUUCACCGCUACACCGGUAAUUCCAUCUCCCCCUCGCACCUUCAAGACCGACAGUAUCCACCGACCCUCCGGGGUUGAGCCCCGGGCUUUCACAGCGGACUGAUCGACCCGCCUACGCGCCCUUUACGCCCAGUAACUUCGGACAACGCUCGCCCCCUCCGUAUUACCGCGGCUGCUGGCAC
RNAcentral lists this ribosomal RNA (292 nucleotides) under uncultured bacterium. Its description in RNAcentral is "partial 16S ribosomal RNA". The record is from RNAcentral.